This 191-nucleotide ribosomal RNA is filed under the name Photobacterium leiognathi. RNAcentral's name for it is "partial 16S rRNA". It matches the Rfam family "Bacterial small subunit ribosomal RNA", at positions 1180 to 1370 of the family's 1533-position model. Lineage: Bacteria; Pseudomonadati; Pseudomonadota; Gammaproteobacteria; Vibrionales; Vibrionaceae. The record is from RNAcentral.
CGACGUCAAGUCAUCAUGGCCCUUACGAGUAGGGCUACACACGUGCUACAAUGGCGUAUACAGAGGGCUGCCAACUCGCGAGAGUGAGCGAAUCCCAGAAAGUACGUCGUAGUCCGGAUUGGAGUCUGCAACUCGACUCCAUGAAGUCGGAAUCGCUAGUAAUCGUGAAUCAGAAUGUCACGGUGAAUACG